GACCAGACUCCUACGGGAGGCAGCAGUGGGGAAUAUUGCACAAUGGGGGAAACCCUGAUGCAGCGACGCCGCGUGAGCGAUGAAGUAUUUCGGUAUGUAAAGCUCUAUCAGCAGGGAAGAAAAUGACGGUACCUGACCAAGAAGCCCCGGCUAACUACGUGCCAGCAGCCGCGGUAAUACGUAGGGGGCAAGCGUUAUCCGGAUUUACUGGGUGUAAAGGGAGCGUAGACGGCAAUGCAAGCCAGAUGUGAAAGCCCGGGGCUCAACCCCGGGACUGCAUUUGGAACUGUGUAGCUGGAGUGUCGGAGAGGCAGGCGGAAUUCCUAGUGUAGCGGUGAAAUGCGUAGAUAUCAGGAGGAACACCGGUGGCGAAGGCGGCCUGCUGGACUGCAACUGACGUUGAGGCCCGAAAGCGUGGGGAGCAAACAGGAUUAGAUACCCCGGUA
This 446-nucleotide ribosomal RNA is filed under the name uncultured bacterium. RNAcentral describes it as "partial 16S ribosomal RNA". It matches the Rfam family "Bacterial small subunit ribosomal RNA", at positions 329 to 792 of the family's 1533-position model. The record is from RNAcentral.